UACAUUCAAAGUAAACACCACCCACCUCGGCAAAUUGCUCCAAAAUUUCCCUCUCCUCACCAAAUUUUUCAGAAAUUUUCUCUUUUUUCUCUCACAAAAUCAAAAACCCGGCUUAACUAUGUGUUGCGCCGUAAAAAAAAAAAGAAAAGAAAAAACCUAAACCCUAGAACCAAACCACCUGAUCUCUUCUAUUAUUCGAUCUAGCUACGCCUCCACCUUCUUCCUAAUCUGCGUUGCCCUGUUUACCUCUCUUCUUUUCUUCAUUGAUUUACCUUCAGGUAUCAUAGAAUACCCAACAAGUAAGCUGAUUAUCUAUUUAGCGGGGUUAUUCUGUACAUGGGGUGCAAAGAGAAUUAUCGUUGUGGGAUAAUCAGGAUAGCAUAGAUUUGAAAGAAGCUGUAUUGAAGAUGAUAUUGGAACUGACUGCAAAAGAAACUCAUCAUCUAGAGGAGGCUGUAAAGAAAGAAAAUGGUUAACUGGGGAAGCCUGAGAUUUUCCCAUCCUCCACCAAUGCUAAACAUUUGCCGAACCAAGGAUUACCAGCAAUUGGAUUCUCUGGAGAAUCAGAAGUGUAAUAAGAAAGUCUCAGCAAGUGGAUUCUUUGAUCAACGAAUUUUUGCAGUAACUAAUAAAAGAGGAAAAAACAAUGGUUUAAAAUCUCAAUGCCCCUGAAACAAUGGAUUACCAACCUGUUCAGCAGCACCAUGCUUACCUAUACGAGCAUACUAGCAAUAUUUCUAGAGAAAAAAGGUUUCCAAGGAAAACGGUUAGGAUUACACUUAUGAAGUAAAAGUGGAGGAGUUUCAAGUUGGUGUACAGGGUGUGGCAAUUGAAGCUGAAGACCAUGUUUGGUCUCUAGAUUAGAUUAGGGUGGACUAGAAUGGUGCAGAAUGACACAGUAACUGCUGUACUAAGAGCAUUAGUGAAGGAGGAUUCAACGUGAUAAAAGGAAAUCCUGAAUCUGUCUCUUUGUUAAUGCAUAUGGAGAAGGAAUUGAAAACAAGGUUGACCUGAAAACAUGAGAGUAUGAGUUUGGUAAACUGAAAGUCUCCUCACCAGGACACUUGGAGACACCUUUCCGAGGCCGGGAUUAACAAAUAAUUAGCCAAAAUCCCAACAUAAUGCACAGUACUACGAAAUUACGGAUUUGCUAUCAUUGGAGCAAGGGUGACUGUAUUGUCCUGUCAGUGUCUAAUAGGCACUUCACGUUGAUAAGCAUUAUUGUGUUUAGGUAACUAUUUCCUAACAUAAAGGGGAAUGGAUUUCAAAUGCAUUAUUGGGGAAUUCAACCUUUAUUCCUUCUCAUCGCUUUAUAUUGAUGAAGAUCAUUGUGUAUCGCUACAUGGAGGAUUGUCCCGAUGAUGACGACUCGGUAAGCAUUGAAAGAUUAGAUGUUGCAGCUGAUGAUGAAGUACUCGGAGAUAAAAAUGAGACUAAUUCAGAAAUGUUGUGUAAAAAACAAGCUUUCAAGGUAUCCUCAUAUAUUUUAGUACUUCUAUCUAUAUGCAUAAUAAAUUUAAAUGAUAAUCUCCAUAAGAUAGGAUAUCUUCCAAAUGUACAAACGCAUAAUAACUUGAAACUACAAAAAAACCUAACUUUUGAAAUUUGUAACUCACUCAGAAGCUCUCUUCCAAAUAUAUAUAGACUAUGAUAUUCUUGCGAAUACUAAAUGCUGGCCCUUACUGUAUUAAUGGAACUAUUUUGUUUUGUCUCUUGCGUAAAGAAUUUUUAUAGUUAUGACUGUUAUAACCGUCGCUGAGAGAAAUCGAUAUAAUUUCAGAACUCUUGUGAUUUCUGUUUUUAUUUUUAAUUCAAUUUUGGAAUCUUAUGGAAUGUAUGGGUAUUUUUACAUACAAUGUUGAUGUUCAGUAGAGAUCCGUUACCGUUAAUGUUACUCCUCUGGGUAUGUGGAAAUGUGCAACCACAGCACUUGAAAGCAGAUAGAUGAAUAACACGGUUGUAGCUAUGAUCAUUAUGCUGGUGGCCGCCAGGAGCUUACACCGUUUUCCAAUCAGUGUAGGCCGAUCAGUUAGCAAUUUCAGUAAAGCAGUAAUGUUAGGUGUUAUAUAUUCAACUGGAACAUGGUAUGAGUACGCUAACCGGUAGGGGAGAUACAUUUUCUAUCGGCAGCUUUGGAAAAGAAGUUCAUGAAGACAGCGAAGAUAUUUGUAAUGGUCAGGGAGUAUUGAUGGCAUACAUGUACUUCUAACUCCUUUAAAAUCCCAACUCCUUUAAAAUACUAAAGAGUGGAAAAACAUUGAUCAAUUUAUGGAUACUUAUGUAAGUCAUUAGUUUUUGUUGAUUAAUUUGAUUCAUCUUUAUUUGCCA
This is a long non-coding RNA of Papaver somniferum (opium poppy), 2328 nucleotides long. RefSeq lists it as uncharacterized. NCBI's taxonomy places the organism in Eukaryota, Viridiplantae, Streptophyta, Magnoliopsida, Ranunculales, Papaveraceae. The record is from RefSeq and is a predicted model, not a curated record. The transcript is spliced from 8 exons.